UAGGGAAUCUUCCACAAUGGACGCAAGUCUGAUGGAGCAACGCCGCGUGAGUGAAGAAGGUUUUCGGACCGUAAAGCUCUGUUGUUGGUGAAGAAGGAUAGGGGUAGUAACUGGCCUUUAUUUGACGGUAAUCAACCAGAAAGUCACGGCUAACUACGUGCCAGCAGCCGCGGUAAUACGUAGGUGGCAAGCGUUGUCCGGAUUUAUUGGGCGUAAAGCGAGCGCAGGCGGAAGAAUAAGUCUGAUGUGAAAGCCCUCGGCUUAACCGAGGAAUUGCAUCGGAAACUGUUUUCUUGAGUGUAGAAGAGGAGAGUAGAACUCCAUGUGUAGCGGUGGAAUGCGUAGAUAUAUGGAAGAAUACCAGUGGCGAAGGCGGCUCUCUGGUCUGCAACUGACGCUGAGGCUCGAAAGCAUGGGUAGCGAACAGGAUUAGAUACCCUGGUAGUCCAUGCCGUAAACGAUGAGUGCUAAGUGUUGGGAGGCUUCCGCCUCUCAGUGCUGCAGCUAACGCAUUAAGCACUCCGCCUGGGGGAGUACGACCGCAAGG
RNAcentral lists this ribosomal RNA (547 nucleotides) under uncultured bacterium. RNAcentral describes it as "partial 16S ribosomal RNA". It matches the Rfam family "Bacterial small subunit ribosomal RNA", at positions 355 to 893 of the family's 1533-position model. The record is from RNAcentral.